UACGUAGGGGGCUAGCGUUGUCCGGAAUCAUUGGGCGUAAAGAGCUUGUAGGCGGUUUGUCGCGUCUGCUGUGAAAUUUCGGGGCUCAACCCCGAACUUGCAGUGGGUACGGGCAGACUAGAGUGUGGUAGGGGAGACUGGAAUUCCUGGUGUAGCGGUGAAAUGCGCAGAUAUCAGGAAGAACACCAAUGGCGAAGGCAGCUCUCUGGGACGGUACUGACGCUGAGACGCGAAAGCGUGGGGAGCGAACAGG
Molecule: ribosomal RNA, 253 nt
Filed under: uncultured bacterium
Lineage: Bacteria
Description: partial 16S ribosomal RNA
Rfam family: Bacterial small subunit ribosomal RNA
Source: RNAcentral